UUGGGUUACCAUUUUUCUUUGUUUCUCUUGAAAGUAUAAUAUGGGCGAACGGAUUAUGCGCUAGAACGCACGAUAUUCGGAACGAGCUCGUGCUUAUAAAUAACUAAGCGUAGCGCGUAACGCAUUAAGCGGUGGUGGAGCGUAUAAGAGAAGAUUCUACCAAAAUCUUAUAUCAACAGUCGAAAAAUAAUUAUCGUGUUUCUAUUUAUAAGGAUAUAUCAUAUCUAACGGGACAAAAUUAAUGACAAUAGUAUGUUUUUAUAUAAUUUAAUUUAUGCGUUUAAUUGUUAUUAAUUUAAAACUAUAGCUUUCGUACUAACUUAAAAAAAAGAAAAAAAAAGAACAAAGGAAAAAAAAUAUUUUGGGAGAUUGUAUUGUUCCAUGGACAUACGUAACUUCUGUAUAUAAUGAAUAGGCGAAAAAAGUUCUUAUUGAUCGAUCUCGUUGCAACGUAGUUCUUUCUAUUCGUGCUCUUACAUGUUUCCGCCCGUGACAUAUUUCCAGUUUCACUAGUGUACGAUAUCCACCGUGGUUUUCGAACGAAAUCGAUAAAUUGAACAUGAAUUCGCACAUUUACAUACAUAUGUGCGAAUGUAAAAAAAAGAGAAAAGAAAAAAAAAACAAGAGCUCGUUUACGCUUCGCAAAAAAUAAACCGAGCGUAUAUUUAUUAAUAAUCUUGCAAUACAAAUCGAACGAAGUAAAAAAGUUGAAUAACACGCAUUUUAAAACACGCUCGAUCUGCUUUAUUUCAUUAUUAUCCAGGAAAAGAGUUUUUGCCCCACUAGAAAUUUUUCGACAGAAUCACACUCGGACGUCAUUCGUUGUCAUUUGAAGAAAGAAAGAAAUACCGCUGGGAUUUAAAAAAGAAAAAAAAAACAAAAAAAAUAAAGUAAUAAUAAAAAGAACAACGAGAUAAACGAGAAUAUGAAGUAUUAUCAUCGAUAUGAUUCAUACGAAGCAAAUCAAAAAGCAGAUUAGUUGCAAGGUGGAAAAUCUUUCCAACAAAAUAUACGACAGAGAUAAAAGAUAAUUACGGCGAUGGAUCUUUUUAAAGUCGAUCGUUUUAAAGUGAAUAAAAAAAAAGAAAAAAAGGAAAAAUUAUCACACACACACACACAUAUAAGAGACACAAACAUAUAUAAAAGAAAUAAAAAAGGCAAGAAACCAAUAAAGACGAGUAGUUAAAGAGAUAAAGAUUAUCCAAUAAAAUCAAGAAUAUUCUUGGCUAUAACGUUUCCACUCGGCAUGAAAACGAAAAUGUUUGUUCAAGGUGCCACGCGAGUCAUAAAGAUAUUAUUUUUCUAUGACCAAUGCGAUAAGACCCAUAAUGUUCUUCGAAAUUCAGUUUGACCGCGGAUGUUGAUUCGGACGAUUUAACAAUGGCUAAUUAAAAUUUUCCCCGACUUCCUCCCUUCAUUCUUUUUUUCCUUCCUUUCCUUUUUUUUCUUUAUUUAUAUUUCUUUCUAUUUUUUUUUCCUUUCGCAUUAACAACUUUACCUAAUAGGAGAUGUAACACAAAGGCAACUAAUGUUUCGCGAUUGAGAAAAAUAAAAAAUAAAAUUUAAUAGUGUCGCAAUGAUAUAUAUAUAAACAGAAAAAUAUAUUUUUUUUUCCGAAUGAUGCAAUGUCUUCGACGCUUUCAACGACGAUAACCUUACGAAGGGGAUUUGUCUCUUUCUCUGGUAGGAUUCAAACGAAAGAGAAAUUUCCAAAGACGUAUAACGAUAUCGAACAAAAUCCAAAGAAGAAGACGCGAUUAAAGAGGAGGAAUUUUCCCACGAAUCGAUAACCCCUAUCGACUUUUUCUCCUAUGUUUCACGAGUUCUACCUCGAGACGCGACAACACGUCGAAGAACGCAGUCGUAAAAGGUCAUAAGAUCAAACGCAUUAAGAUCGAACAUAAGAUCGAACGUAAGAUCGAACGUAAGAUCAAAUGUAAGAUCGAACGUAAGAUCGAACUUUUCUUUUUUUUAAUUUUUCUUUAUUUUUCCUUUUUUUUCCUUACCUUUUUUCUUUUCUUUUUUUUUUUAUGUCGUCUAUUAUCGACACGUAUGUUAGAACGAACGUAAACCUAUAAUCUCCCAAUCGGAUAAACAAAGCUUCCUUUCAUGUGUCGAGCAAUUAAAAUAAUCGAACAUUCAAGUCGACGUAUCUUGAUGAAAACGUCAUCGAGUCUGCCUAAUUUGCUUCGAGCCGUAAAAAACAACACGCGCAAGGACAGAUAAAUGAUUCGGCUAACUUCUUUUUUUUUUGUUUCUAAAUAAAGCGAUAUCGUAUAAGAUAAAAUAAAAAAAAAAAAUAAGAAAACGAAAAAGAAGAAAAAAAAGAACAUAUUAGAAGAAAACGAUUAUCGACGAUAUCUGUUUAUUUCUUUCUUUUUUUUUUCCUUUUUGCUUUUUUCUUCACUCUUACAUGCAACAGAUCCGAUUUACGCACGUCCGAAACAGAGUAGCAAGUAGGUAAGUACGAGUAUAGAUAUAGUUAGACAUAAUGUGCAUCUAGGUCGUUCGUGUCUUUUCUCUCGCAUAUGUUUAAGAGUCAAACGGUAAGAGCAAUGCGUGCAUCAAAAUUAGCUUCGAAUGCUGUCUUACGUUCUAUUACCGGGUAAGCUUGAUUCGUCGUUCUCUCUCUCUCUCUCUUUUCUCUCUCUUUCUCUCCCUCUUUCUCCCUGUUUUUACAGAGGGAGUAGGUUUACACAGAAAAGAAGAGAAGAGAAAAGAAAAUGAAAACAAAACAAAAAAGAGAAGAAAGAAAAAAAAAUGAUCGAAGAAGAAACCGGGUAAAGAGUUGGAUGUUUGGAGCAAGAAAGAAAAAAAAAAGAAAAAAGCAGAAGAAAAAAAAAGAAACAGAAAAAAGAAAAGAAAAAAGCAACAAGAAAAAAGGAGAAAAAUAAAUAAUAAAGAAAGAAAGAAAGAAAAAAAGAAAUUUCGAUUGGGUACAAGUUCCUUGAUCUUCUCGAUAAGAUUAUUAAUAAAGAAAUAAAGAAAUAGAAGUAGGAGCCGCUCUCUUUAUCGGCCUUGAUUUCGCGUGCGGAUCUCGUUGCGAUCGCAUGUGAUAUAAAGAUUACGUAAGGUGGGAGUUUGACUCUCCUUAGCACGACCUCUGUGGACGUAUUCGCAUCGUUACGCUAGUAGGGAUGAAAAGAGAGAAUUCGAGGGGAAGAGAGAAAGAAAGAGAGAGAGAAAGAGAAAGAAGGAGAGAAAAAUAGAUAAAUAGAGAUACAGAUAGAGAUAGAUAGAUAUAUAUUAGAGAGAGAGAGAGAGGGAGAAAGAAUGAGAGAGAGAGAGAGAGAGAGGAGAAAGAGUAGGAUGGAAAAGGAGAUGGAAAUGGAGAUGAGGAUGAAGAGAGGAAGGGAGGGGAAGGGAGGGAGAGGGUUUCAUGCGGGCACUGGCACCGAGCAGUCUGUUCCGUUCACCUCCGGUAUUCCCUCGAGCAAUGCCAGGGAAGCCAGGACCGUCCAUGCCAGUUUUAGAACCCUUCGCUUUUCCUCUCUUUAUAAUCUUAGAUCAUCUAUGAAUCAUGCGAAUUAAUCGGCCGAUGAUAUCCUUUUGCGAAAUCUCGUUCAUCGUUCUAAUACCAGGAAAAUAAAUGAUUCUUGUGAGAAAAUAGUUCUGACGAACGUUUCUUUUUCAUUCGUUUAAAUCAUUGCGAAUUUUUACAAAAGCAACAACAAUAAUACAACAACAACAACUAUAAAUAAUAUCUGGAUCCUGUUAACUAGAUUUUAUUAUCUUAUUCCUACAGCUGUCCGAUGUUCUCGAAAUAAAUUCGUAAUAGUAAGGUGUCGUCCCGACAGGGUGCAGAAAGAUCAAUCGUGUUCUAUUCGUACAAGGGGCAAGAGUAUAGGUCGGAAAGAGACAAGAUACACCUCGAUUCUAAAUUUGGUCUCCUCUACUCCUUCGACGUUGGAACGAACGAAGAAACGGAGAAACCAGUAUGCUUUAAAAAGAACGGAAAGACUCUUCUUCCCUCUUCCACCCCCCCCUCUCUCUGUUCUUUAUAGAAAGAACAAAGAGAUUUAACCCGUGGGAACCCGAGGAUGAGUGCUUCUUCUUUCGAGUGGAAAAAAACAUGGUCUACUUUACGGACGAAUUUCGAUCGUCAUGGCUCAUAAAGUCAAAGCCCCGAAGGGACACCAGAAGCUACACUACCGGAAGUAGUUUUACGACUUUCGCUGGAGUCGUAAAUUCAAAAACAGACUUCAUUAUGAAUCGAUGAAAAUCGCGUUAGAACGGUACAUACACAUACACAUAUACAUAUACACACAUACUUAUGUACAUACAUGCCAUUCUAUACACAUCACGCGUAACUUCUUAUGCAAUCCGUUCGUCAAAACAUUUUCGUUCCUUUUUUUUCUUUUUUUCUUUCUUUCUUUCUUUCUUUCUUUCUUUCUACUCUUUGGCUAUCUCUUUCAUUAUCGAUGGUAGAAACGAUACUUUGCCAAGAAGGAACGAAUCGAAAAACGCAUGGAAUUCGUUUUAAUUCGAUCAACGUCGAUUGGCCGCGUCGUUGCUUGGCUCUAAACGUGAAUGAAACUAUAGAGUGUAACGAGAAAGAAAGAAAGAAAGAGAGAGAGAGAGAGAGAGAGAGAGAGGGAGAGAGAGAGAAAUAAAAGGAAGCAACUUAACGAUGCAAGCUUUCGAAUAGAUAGAAUCACUAGGGGGAGUGUCUUCCAGGAAAUACUCCGAUCCGUUUAAAUACCUCUACUCAAAUAAAUGGAGACGAAGUCGU
Long non-coding RNA from Vespa crabro (European hornet), 4732 nucleotides. RefSeq lists it as uncharacterized. The record is from RefSeq and is a predicted model, not a curated record. Lineage: Eukaryota; Metazoa; Arthropoda; Insecta; Hymenoptera; Vespidae. The transcript has 2 exons.